CARUGWAAUUUUUWAUAGCCGCAGAUUUACUGUGCUAAGGUAGCAUAAUCAUUUGUUCUUUAAUUAWGAACUAGAAUGAAAGGUUUAACAUUUUAUUUCUAUUUUUCCUAAAAAAUCCUAACUUUUACUAAAUGUAAAAAUACAUUUAUACAAAAAAAAGACGACAAGACCCUAUCGAACUUAACUUUUAGUUAAGCUGGGGCAGCUUUUUAAUAAUUAUUUUAAAUUAAUUAAAUUUAAAUAAAUGUUCCAAUAUUAAUUGAAUAAAUGAAUAAGUUACCGUAGGGAUAACAGCGUAAUUCUUAUCUAUAGUUCUUAUAAAAAUAAGAGUUUGCGACCUCGAUGUUGAAUUAAUUUACCUGUUAAGUGCAACCACU
This 377-nucleotide ribosomal RNA is filed under the name Asagena phalerata. Its description in RNAcentral is "partial 16S ribosomal RNA". It matches the Rfam family "Bacterial large subunit ribosomal RNA", at positions 1910 to 2563 of the family's 2925-position model. The record is from RNAcentral. Lineage: Eukaryota; Metazoa; Arthropoda; Arachnida; Araneae; Theridiidae.